CGUAUAUUAAAGUUGUUGCGUUUAAAACGCCCGUAGUUGAGCCUCGCCGGGUGCUCACGGCGUCAUGCGCGGUGUGUGCUUUUUGGUGCCCUGGGGUGGGUUAUUUUAACUAAUAACGCGACUCGGGGUAUUCUUUUAAGUAUCGUCGCGUUGCGUCGUGGUUGUUUGCACCCGGUGCGUGGCCGGGGGGGGCUAAACACCCCCCCCGACACGCCGUUACCAUAAAGAAAUUGGAGUGUUCCAGGCAGGCGCACUGCGCCCUUGCACAGUCCAGUAUGGGAUAACAGCGGAUGACUUGCGCCCGUUUGUUGGUUUCCCCUGGGCAGUGGAGUAAUGGUUGAUAGGGGCGGUCGGGGGCAUUAGUACUGGGGCGGGAAAGGUUAAAUUUGAUGAUCGCCCCAAGACUGCCGAGGGCGAAAGCGCUUGCCAAGGACGCUUUCGUUGAUCAAGGACGAAAGCUGGGGGAGAGAAGGAGAUCAGACACCUCCGUAUUCCCAGCCGUAAACGAUGCCGACCAGGGCCCGGGGGCACACCUUCGUUGCUUUGGUGGCCCCCGGGACCUCGCGAGAAAUCCGAGUAUUCAGGUUACGGGGGGAGUAUGGUCGCAAGGCAGAAACUUAAAGGAAUUGACGGAAGGGCACCACAAUUGGCGUGGAGCCUGCGGCUUAAUU
This 671-nucleotide ribosomal RNA is filed under the name Retortamonas sp. IC-2013e. RNAcentral describes it as "partial small subunit ribosomal RNA". It matches the Rfam family "Eukaryotic small subunit ribosomal RNA", at positions 598 to 1195 of the family's 1831-position model. Lineage: Eukaryota; Fornicata; Retortamonadidae. The record is from RNAcentral.